ACUGUGCUGAUGGCUGAGUGGUUAAGGUAUUGGAGUUGAAAUCCAAUGGGGUUCCCCUGUGCAGGUUCAAGUCCUGCUUACAGUG
Non-coding RNA from Gopherus flavomarginatus (Mexican gopher tortoise), 85 nucleotides. Lineage: Eukaryota; Metazoa; Chordata; Testudines; Testudinidae. The record is from the annotation of a RefSeq genome assembly.